GCUGGGCGUGAGGGCUCAUACCUGUAAUCCUAAUUACUCAGGAGGCUGAGGCAGGAGAAUCGCUUGAACCCAGGAGGCGGAGGUUGCAGUGAGCCAAGACAGGGCCACUGCACUCCAGCCUGGGUGACAGAGCGAGACUCUGUCUCAA
Unclassified non-coding RNA from Pongo abelii (Sumatran orangutan), 148 nucleotides. It matches the Rfam family "Metazoan signal recognition particle RNA". From Rfam's summary of the family: The signal recognition particle (SRP) is a universally conserved ribonucleoprotein. It is involved in the co-translational targeting of proteins to membranes. The eukaryotic SRP consists of a 300-nucleotide 7S RNA and six proteins: SRPs 72, 68, 54, 19, 14, and 9. The record is from Ensembl. Lineage: Eukaryota; Metazoa; Chordata; Mammalia; Primates; Hominidae.